UGGCCUGUGACGAAAGCAUUAUGAGAAAACACACCAUCUUUCGGGACUGAAUGGCUGUCUUACAGCCUUGCUGAUAUUCUGCAAUUCUGAGGCCU
RNAcentral lists this small nucleolar RNA (95 nucleotides) under Eucalyptus grandis. RNAcentral describes it as "Small nucleolar RNA SNORD96 family". It matches the Rfam family "Small nucleolar RNA SNORD96 family". From Rfam's summary of the family: snoRNA Z37 is a member of the C/D class of snoRNA which contain the C (UGAUGA) and D (CUGA) box motifs. Z37 acts as a methylation guide for 5.8S ribosomal RNA. The record is from Rfam by way of RNAcentral. Lineage: Eukaryota; Viridiplantae; Streptophyta; Magnoliopsida; Myrtales; Myrtaceae.